AACAUCGCGCACCUGCGGGAACCUGCGGAAGGAUCAUUACCGAGUGCGGGUCCGCGUGGCCCAACCUCCCACCCGUGCCUAUUGUACCCUGUUGCUUCGGCGGGCCCGCCAGCCUUCGGGCUGGCCGCCGGGGGGCGUCUCGCCCCCGGGCCCGUGCCCGCCGGAGACCCCAACAUGAACCCUGUUCUGAAAGCUUGGUGUCUGAGUGUGAUUGUUUGCAAUCAGUUAAAACUUUUAGCA
This 240-nucleotide unclassified non-coding RNA is filed under the name soil metagenome. RNAcentral describes it as "partial contains 5.8S ribosomal RNA, internal transcribed spacer 2, and large subunit ribosomal RNA". The record is from RNAcentral.